ACACAAACCAAAACCAUCUACAUACAAAAUUCUUGAAUUCUUUCUGUUUUGCUUCUGAAUAUAUCAGCACAAGGUCGAAAGGCCUUGUACUUGAAGAUUUUUGUGUUUACUAUUUUAAUAAAGGUUUCUUUCAUAGCUAAAAAAAUAACAUUUCUAGUAAUAUGGUAAAACGGUCAAAACUUGGUUUGACUCAAUAAAGAGAUCAAACAAAUGUUGUGAAAACCAUAACAUUGCACCUAAAUCCAACAAUUCAUGAUAUGCCACAUCAGCAGGGACAAUUAACCUGAGAAGGAUUAUGUAAGUGCUUCAGGAUUUAGCCACAAAAACUAUCUGUAUUUUCAUUAAGGGUGAAAAUACAAAUACGUAUCUGUAUUUUCACCAUUUUAUCGAUUUAGCCACAAAAACUAUCAGUGUAGUGAUUAAACCAUUUUUUCAGUUUACCUGAUUUUGAAAAAGGCAAAACAAAAAACACACAACAUACUAUAUACUGUAACUACUUUUUGGUUCAACCACUGAAGUAUAAUAUAUUACGAUCAUAAUAAAGAUAUAGGUAAAGAUAAAUCGAUAAAUGCUGAAAGUAUGUUGUGAUUUUCUAUAUUAGAAAACCCAGUAAACGAGAAAAAUGUUUGUUUUAAGCAAUCAGAAACUUGAUUAUCAGAGAAAAUGAUAAAAUGUUGAAAAAAAGGUAAGUAUGAUGUUGAUAAAGUGAUAAAAAGAGGUUAAAGUAUUCCAUCGUCACAUACCUUUGACAUUGUGUUUACGUUUGCCUUACAGCAUUUUGAACUCCUGUACACAAUUGCAACUAGAAGGUGGUUUAUGGUUUGGGUUUUAGGGUUUAGGGUUUAGGGUUUAGGGUUUAGUUUAAUUCCAAAUAGAUGGGUUUCUAAACUGUGAUGCCAUUGCUUCUGAUAAAAAUUUAGUGAGUGAUUCUCGGCUUACUUCCUUCUCCCGCUUAAGCUCAAGAUGACGAAUCUGUUUAUAUAACAUUUAAAUAAAUAAAUUGUUUUUUUUUCCGUUGUUGGAAACCGAUUUAGCUUGUUGGGAUAUACAUUAUAAAUAUAAUAAUAUUGAAAAUUUGGAAUUACCUUAACAGAACCUUUUUGAGAAACGCCAGUGUCUGAAAUGAUAAUAAGACAUUUAAUGUCAUGCUCAUUUGCAUAUUCAUACUGCUCCGUGAGGCUUGGAUCCAAAAUUGGAACAAACUCCGCCU
This 1210-nucleotide long non-coding RNA is filed under the name Lactuca sativa (garden lettuce). RNAcentral's name for it is "long non-coding RNA (LSAT_LNC002896)". The record is from RNAcentral. Lineage: Eukaryota; Viridiplantae; Streptophyta; Magnoliopsida; Asterales; Asteraceae.